GGGAGGGGAGAGAUGAGAGAUGUACCAGGUGUAACAAGGGCUUGGGAUGGAUGCGAGAGGCAAGUGUGAAAAGGGAGAUGGCGGAUGAGAUCCAACUGCAAAGCUGCGUUUCUUUUGAGUUCCUCAGUGGGAGAGUUAAGUAACCUUUCGAUCUGAUUUGAAUAUCUUUUUUUUGGGGGGGGGAGAGGGUAGAACUGCCCCUUUGAUCCACGACGGCUGAAAAGUGCGAAGAAGACACACAAUUCCCUCCUCUCUCAUUCCCGGGAAAUUCUUUAUUUUAUUCUUUACAGAUCGGACGGCUCGAAAGUUGUGCUUGCAAGAUAAGGACCCAUUCGUGAAUAUUAGGCCACUUGUUCUGGUUAACAUAUGCCACCUACCCCGUUUAUAAAGCACUAUUUGAUUUCGAGUCAUUCGGGCCAUCUGGUUUGUACUCGAGAAUUGGUGGCAAUACUGAUAGACAGGCAAGCAGUUUGAUUGAUGUCCUAAGUACUUUCCAUUCUUAUUGUCCUUAAUGAUAAUUUAUUUCAAUCACUAUCCUAUAUAUAAUUCUUUUUUUCCCUCGCCCUCCACAGGAUCAGAAGAUGCUUUGAUAAGGUUCAACCCGACAGAAAUAAUCAAGCUGCAGGUUAUUCAAAUUUCAAGCGACAGAGCAGAUAUUUGUAGCGCUGAGGCAGGCGGGCUUCCGGCUUUUUGGAUCUACUUUGUUUGUUUGUUUUGCCCAAGAUCUACCAACCAGAGCCAUCUGCAAACAAACAAACAAACAAACAACCCCCCCCUCACAGAAUUGUUGAACAAGGUGACUCUGAGCCCUUUUAUACAAAAGUCCCUGCUUAGCUAAUUGUCUUCAUUUCCAUCCCUUAAUUUGGAUUAGACAAGUCAUAUAGGUUGUUGCCAUUAAAACACAGUUGGGUGUCGGAAAUUUUUGCUGAUCUGCUGUAAAUCAGAGAUCUGCCAGUAGGUUCAGAUCCACAUUCUGUCUCCUUUUAUAAAAUAUAAUCAGGAAUGUGUUGUAGACGUCAGUUUUUCUUGCAUUUUUGUGCAGUCAUUUAACAUAAGUAAUCUUUUCAAUGUAUCCCUCCUUUUUCUGCAGUCAGAAAAUCUGUUUGUUAAGUAAUAUCAAAUGACCGCUAAACCAUCCCUGGCAACUCUAUUACCCUUAUUUUCAAAGAAUGUUGGUUGCGCUGUAAUGAACCUUCAAUCAAUAUUUCCAGUCUGGUAAAGAAUUUAUGGGCAUUUUUGAGGGUUUUUGUAGAGACGCAAAACAACAAAAAGCACAAAGGCAAAUACACACUCCCUCCCCCUUAAUAAUUUCAAGAGAAAGGGUUGGGUUGAAGGAUCGUAAAUGGGGAUGGAAGGAGGGGUGAGUGUAAACAAGUAAGCAAAAAAAAAUCUAGGAUCUGUUUCCAGUACAAAGACCAGGGUAUUAUUUCUGAGGAGGACUAGAAAACCAUGUUAUGCUGAGGAACUCCCUGGACAGAACCGCCGUAAGUAGCACAUUUUACUUACUGUGGAAAUGUUACGUUUUAAUUACUCCAGAUGCGUUCUUUGUUUCUAUGCCUCCGUUCAGUAAAUCUUCGUGAAAUUAUUAGACAUUAAGCUCAACAAUUUCGGUCUGGCUCUGAGUCAGUAAGGUUUGGACAGCGCCCUUGUUGCAAUCCUAAACGCACUCACCUGGGAAGGUAGGGGGUGUCUCACUGGCUCUCAAGUCUUUAGGAUCGGGGUACCAGUUGCGCUGAAAGCUGACAGACACUCAUUCCGAUCCUAAACACAAAGCGUCCUAUUUAGCAGGAUAGCAACAUAAAGGGGGGGGGUCGGUUUAAAUGCGAUUCGUUUGUUGUAUGGUGGUGGAUGGAGCUGCGACUAUAAUCAGCAAGAUAUCGACAUACUCAAGGCGAGAGGCUUAACACCCCAGUCUUAAAUGUAUUAAGGCCAAACAAAAGCCACAUUCAAAUAAAUGCGAGGCUAAAUACGUUUACUCGGUAGUAAGUCUCUCUUUGUUGAAUGGGAUUAAACUCCUUGUUAAUUAAUGACUUUUAUAAGAUCAAAUGGGUCGUCAGAGGCAUGUUCCAUAGCUGAUCAUCCUCUGCCAACAUUGUUGUUGUUGUUGUCGAUUGAGAAAGUUUGGGCAGCCUUAAGUCCUCCUUGGAGAAGUCAAGGGAGAUGGAGAGGAAGAACGUGCAUGCUUUUCCUGAAAUCAAGGGAACUGAAACCGCUGUUGAUCUGGGGUACCAUCUGGGGAGGAGGGGUCUUCUACUACAGGGGGCCUCCGCCCCUCCAGUCACACGCGGGAGGAAGUUAGUGAUGAGCAGUUGACUUUUUAACGCCCACCAUGGGAAACAAGGAAAGACUGGGAAAACACACACAGAGGGAGGGAGGGAAAGAGAGAGCUCCAGAUCUCCUCCCUUAAACUGGGUCUUCCGUGUCACAUCCAAAGCAAGGAAGCGCGAAAGGAGCAUGGAAAGUCCCUUCCCGUAAACAGCUUAAGAGAGUCUUUAAACUGCUGGGAGAAAGGAGUUAAUUCAGAGCCUAAUGAUUUCCCGGGGCAGGGGGUUGUUGGCAAACUGACAGGUUAUUUUGUCUGUGGCGAGUUGGCACCGGCUUUGCUUGAGAGGGGAGGAGUUUUCAUACUGGCCAGACAGGAGGCUCCCCUCCUUUUCCUCCUAGGGCGUAUACUCAAUUAGACCCGGAUUUGUUAACACCCUUUAGUCAAUGAAUGGGUGGUAGUGAAAGCGGAACAUCAAGUGAUCUAUUUUUUUCCACCCCUACUUUAAAUCCGCCUUAGUCACGGUUUAAAUCCGCCUCCAGUCAUAGCCAAAAAUUAAGGGUAAGAGUUAUUCCGUGUUCAUUAACACGGAACAGAAGAGUGAGGGUUCUGUGUGGCUUCUAAGUCGGGGCUUUUGAGAGAGUAGAAGGUUUCCCACACUCUUUCUAAAGAGGCUGAUUGCUUAGGGCAGCUCGCCUCUUUCUUCCUCUGUGAUAGCAUCCCGCCUUAUCCGGGAUAGAGACGCUCCAUAUUACAAUAAGGGUACAUUAAGAAGAACAGUAACACCACAUGGGAUAAAUUCUGACGAACCUCCCUGCCCCCCAGCGCUGAUUAUCUCCUGACUGGUGGGCGACUGAGAUGAAGAGAGAGCGAGCCCUAUACCAAUCUCGGUCCAGCCCCGCCAAUGUAAAUUGCGCGGUUGGCUGCUUUGAAAUGUGGGGAGGGAAAUGCUUCCUUGGUUUUUCAAAGCCUUUCCAUCAGUGGGCGAUGCCUGCGACAGAAUACCUUUGGCGGAUCGUCUUCAAACCGGUAGUGUAAUUGCAGGCAACAGGAAGCAAUGAGAGGGAGGAGAGUCUCGGAAGAGGCCCUUAAACUGGCAGUCCUAAUCCUUCUCCAGCAGCAAGCCCCCCCCCCCCUCCCGGGCCAUUAGUGGGAUGAUUCUAACCAGAUCUGCUCCCUGACCCGGUGGAUUUACGUUAUAUAGUGAGAUUAAGUGAUCUGAUAAGCCUCCUGAACCACAGAGCCUACCUUGAAACCUGAAGGCCGACUAGAAAUGUUUGUCGAAACGAAAGUGCCUGGUCACUGCGCGUUAAAGACUGGGGCAGAUCAAAUCCCCGGCAGACCUUGACCUGAGUCCAGGCUAAACGCUGAUACCAAAGAGCCCCACUGAGAACUUAUGAAUGAUCUGUUAAGCGUGGGAUCAGGAUCUCAAAAGGUUCUUCUUCCCUUUGAAAUUGGGUUGUGACCUCUCUCUCUUUCGCUCUCUCCUGCUGUACAAUCCCAUAGGAUGUCUACACUCGGAACUCGUCCUCGUUGAGCUCGUGGGGAUCUUCACUCAAGGAAGCGCGUACAGGGCUGCAGCCUAGAUCCAUGUCUUUACUUUCUGUCUACCACCUCUCUCUAGAUCUCUGAGGUUCCUUAGUGAAAUUUAGUGAGUGCCUCCGGGUACUAUUAAUCUCCUCUCGAUUUUGAAAACACCCACACAUAUUCAGAUGAAACACCCAGGUGUAAAGUGCCCCACUUCAAAGGUCCAGAACCGUCUGCUGCGUCCACCCCGGAGCAAAUCCUUCAAAGACGACCAGCGCCCUCGCUCAAAGUGAAUGACAACCCAACUGCCGCGCGUCAUCCUCAACAUCACCUAUUGAAUACAGAAAAUUGCCUGGAAAGUCAAAUGUAAUGUGCAGAAUAUAGAAUCUGUUUUAAACGUUUCUCUUUCUAUCCUUUUCUGAUCUCCCUUGACUCUUGGAAAGGCGCCAUAAAAAGAUUUAAAUAAAUAAUUUGUUUCUUCAGCGUUCUAGGAAUCUGCAUAAGGAAGAAGGCUGGACGCUGGAGUGAUAUUUUUGUUACCGAAGCUGUAGAUCAAUGUUAAAAACACUUAAUAAAAGAGCCUUCGCAAAAAUGCAA
Non-coding RNA from Podarcis muralis (Common wall lizard), 4387 nucleotides. NCBI's taxonomy places the organism in Eukaryota, Metazoa, Chordata, Lepidosauria, Squamata, Lacertidae. The record is from RefSeq and is a predicted model, not a curated record.